UCGUCUGCCGGGCUCUAAUUUAUGAAACUGAGCCCCAGAUCCAGCCAAUCAUUUAGCUCCUCAUAACAAGUCUAACUGGCUCUGGAAAGCUGAAAGGGCUGCACUAGAACAACAUAGAUGAGAUAUCCCACACAAUAAUCUGCUUAUCUGGAAUUGCUUUCCCCCUCAAGGCCAGAGUAAAAUCGCAGCUUCAUUGUCUGAGGGAAGAAGGACAGGUGACCUGGAAAAACGUGACAGUACCUGGAGCAC
Dasypus novemcinctus (nine-banded armadillo) is the source of this 249-nucleotide unclassified non-coding RNA. Lineage: Eukaryota; Metazoa; Chordata; Mammalia; Cingulata; Dasypodidae. The record is from Ensembl.